GACGAACGCUGGCGGCGUGCUUAACACAUGCAAGUCGAACGGAAAGGCCCUGCUUUUGUGGGGUGCUCGAGUGGCGAACGGGUGAGUAACACGUGAGUAACCUGCCCUUGACUUUGGGAUAUCUUCAUGACACUGGGGCUAAUACCGGAUAGGAGCUCUUGCUGCUUGGUGGGGGUUGGAAAGUUUCGGCGGUUGGGUAUGGACUCGCGGCUUAUCAGCUUGUUGGUGGGGUAGUGGCUUACCAAGGCUUUGACGGGUAGCCGGCCUGAGAGGGUGACCGGCCACAUUGGGACUGAGAUGCGGCACAGACCACUACGGGACGCAGCGGUGGGGAAUAUUGCACAAUGGGAGGAAGCCUGGUGCAGCGACGCCGCGUGCGGGAUGACGGCCUUCGGGUUGUAAACCGAUUUCGCCUGUGACGAAGCGUGAGUGACGGUAAUGGGUAAAGAAGCACCGGCUAACUACGUG
This 468-nucleotide ribosomal RNA is filed under the name uncultured bacterium. Its description in RNAcentral is "partial 16S ribosomal RNA". It matches the Rfam family "Bacterial small subunit ribosomal RNA", at positions 28 to 507 of the family's 1533-position model. The record is from RNAcentral.